RNAcentral lists this ribosomal RNA (823 nucleotides) under Escherichia coli. Its description in RNAcentral is "bacterial LSU rRNA". It matches the Rfam family "Bacterial large subunit ribosomal RNA", at positions 1 to 867 of the family's 2925-position model. Lineage: Bacteria; Pseudomonadati; Pseudomonadota; Gammaproteobacteria; Enterobacterales; Enterobacteriaceae. RNAcentral also lists the same sequence under 1 other name. The record is from RNAcentral.
GUUAAGCGACUAAGCGUACACGGUGGAUGCCCUGGCAGUCAGAGGCGAUGAAGGACGUGCUAAUCUGCGAUAAGCGUCGGUAAGGUGAUAUGAACCGUUAUAACCGGCGAUUUCCGAAUGGGGAAACCCAGUGUGUUUCGACACACUAUCAUUAACUGAAUCCAUAGGUUAAUGAGGCGAACCGGGGGAACUGAAACAUCUAAGUACCCCGAGGAAAAGAAAUCAACCGAGAUUCCCCCAGUAGCGGCGAGCGAACGGGGAGCAGCCCAGAGCCUGAAUCAGUGUGUGUGUUAGUGGAAGCGUCUGGAAAGGCGCGCGAUACAGGGUGACAGCCCCGUACACAAAAAUGCACAUGCUGUGAGCUCGAUGAGUAGGGCGGGACACGUGGUAUCCUGUCUGAAUAUGGGGGGACCAUCCUCCAAGGCUAAAUACUCCUGACUGACCGAUAGUGAACCAGUACCGUGAGGGAAAGGCGAAAAGAACCCCGGCGAGGGGAGUGAAAAAGAACCUGAAACCGUGUACGUACAAGCAGUGGGAGCACGCUUAGGCGUGUGACUGCGUACCUUUUGUAUAAUGGGUCAGCGACUUAUAUUCUGUAGCAAGGUUAACCGAAUAGGGGAGCCGAAGGGAAACCGAGUCUUAACUGGGCGUUAAGUUGCAGGGUAUAGACCCGAAACCCGGUGAUCUAGCCAUGGGCAGGUUGAAGGUUGGGUAACACUAACUGGAGGACCGAACCGACUAAUGUUGAAAAAUUAGCGGAUGACUUGUGGCUGGGGGUGAAAGGCCAAUCAAACCGGGAGAUAGCUGGUUCUCCCCGAAAGCU